GACGAACGCUGGCGGCGUGCUUAACACAUGCAAGUCGAACGGAAAGGCCCUGCGUUUGUGGGGUGCUCGAGUGGCGAAAAGGUGAGUAAAACGUGAGUAACCUGCCCUUCACUUUCGGAGAAAUUCAGGAAAAAGGGGCUAAUACCGCAGAGGAGACGCGGCUGCAUGGCGGGGGUGGGAGAGUUUCGGCGGUUGGGGAUGGGCUCGCGGCUUAUCAGCUUGUUGGUGGGGGAGUGGCUUACCAAGGCUUUGACGGGUAGCCGGCCUGAGAGGGUGACCGGCCACACUGGGACUGAGACACGGCCCAGACUCCUACGGGAGGCAGCAGUGGGGAAUAUUGCACAAUGGGCGCAAGCCUGAUGCAGCAACGCCGCGUGCGGGAUGACGGCCUUCGGGUUGUAAACCGCUUUUGGCUGUGACGAAGCGUGAGUGACGGUAACUGGUGAAGAAGCACCGGCUAACUACGUG
Molecule: ribosomal RNA, 468 nt
Filed under: uncultured bacterium
Lineage: Bacteria
Description: partial 16S ribosomal RNA
Rfam family: Bacterial small subunit ribosomal RNA
Source: RNAcentral